CUUUCCUCAGAUUCCAUUGAAUCAUGAGCCUCUGAAGCAGCAGUCCUCGUCCUUGACAUCUUAAGUAUCUAGAAAAGAACGCUUGCACUACAACUGUGGAGGAGACACAGAAGCAAGAAGCAAGUGGGGAGAGAGAAUAGAACCGGGGAAAGGUUGGAAAAGAAACAAUAAGAGGCCGAUAGAAAAGAAGAAUAAAAGGUUUGAAUUGACGCUCUGCCAUAAUGCGGCAAAAAAAAGGAAUCCCAAAGUAGUUUAACAAAAAGAAGACAAGCAAUAGACAAAGCGAGAAGAGGGUAACGAAUGCUCAACAGGUUGAAACAAAAUAAAAAGAAAGAAACGAAUGACCCUGAGAGCGGAAAAAAAAAAAACCAUGAUAUCAUAGGCCUUGGUUAGAUGCAAAGAAGGUUAAAAAUCAUGGCAACAUAAAAGAUAAGAAGGUCAUGAUUAGCAUAAGCAAAAAGAAGAGCUAAGACAUAGUAUCUCUGAAUAAUCCACUUUAGAAAACUCCGGCUCCAUGUUAGAUCUGCCAAUCUAACCUGUUAAGAGAAUCCUCAGCUUAUAACUACAAUUCUAUUUGAUUACUCAGACAUUUACACAAAUAGAACACAAUGAUACCAACCAAGAACAACAAUCAAAUACCCGUACAGAGCUAAAACUCACAGUAAUAUCAAUCAAAUGUGUUUCAGCUACACUUAGCAGUCAUUGGCAAAGAUAACACAAAGGAGGGAGCAGAUUCAGUUUUAAAUUAAAGAAGAGCUUAGGAAAACCCCAAUUUCAAAAGAAAAAAAUUCGGAUCCCCAACCAAAAAGAUUCAAGCAAGGAGACGAAGAGAGGAGCAAUGAGAUGAAACAAGACAGAGCGAGAGGAAGUACCUGAAGAGAGAGAGAGAGAGAGAGAGAGCUGCCGGAAGAAAACCCUAAUUUUGGAGAAUUGCGGAGAGGAUGAGGAAGUGUUUCGCGCAGCUCAGGCUGAGAAUAUGUAAAUGUGUU
RNAcentral lists this long non-coding RNA (989 nucleotides) under Capsella grandiflora. Its description in RNAcentral is "long non-coding RNA (CGRA_LNC000589)". Lineage: Eukaryota; Viridiplantae; Streptophyta; Magnoliopsida; Brassicales; Brassicaceae. The record is from RNAcentral.